RNAcentral lists this ribosomal RNA (484 nucleotides) under uncultured bacterium. Its description in RNAcentral is "partial 16S ribosomal RNA". It matches the Rfam family "Bacterial small subunit ribosomal RNA", at positions 30 to 507 of the family's 1533-position model. The record is from RNAcentral.
AUUGAACGCUGGCGGCAGGCCUAACACAUGCAAGUCGAGCGGAUGAAGGGAGCUUGCUCCUGGAUUCAGCGGCGGACGGGUGAGUAAUGCCUAGGAAUCUGCCUGGUAGUGGGGGAUAACGUCCGGAAACGGGCGCUAAUACCGCAUACGUCCUGAGGGAGAAAGUGGGGGAUCUUCGGACCUCACGCUAUCAGAUGAGCCUAGGUCGGAUUAGCUAGUUGGUGGGGUAAAGGCCUACCAAGGCGACGAUCCGUAACUGGUCUGAGAGGAUGAUCAGUCACACUGGAACUGAGACACGGUCCAGACUCCUACGGGAGGCAGCAGUGGGGAAUAUUGGACAAUGGGCGAAAGCCUGAUCCAGCCAUGCCGCGUUUGUGAAGAAGGUCUUCGGAUUGUAAAGCACUUUAAGUUGGGAGGAAGGGCAGUAAGUUAAUACCUUGCUGUUUUGACGGUACCAACAGAAUAAGCACCGGCUAACUUCGUG